This 61-nucleotide microRNA precursor is filed under the name Brassica oleracea var. oleracea. Its description in RNAcentral is "pre miRNA MIR477". The record is from RNAcentral. Lineage: Eukaryota; Viridiplantae; Streptophyta; Magnoliopsida; Brassicales; Brassicaceae.
UUAUAAUUAAGUCGUCUGCAAAGUCUUCCAGCUGGAAGACUUUCCAGACGACUUAAUUAUA